AGUGCAGGUAAAAGGCAGAAAUAGGCGGUAGGCAGAGGCAUAGUCGAUACAGUCCAGGUUCAGUUCAUGUGAAAGGCAGAAACAUGGCGGAUAAACAAUGCAGAGGCAUAGUCGAUAAACAGGCCAGGGUCAGUUGAGUUGAGGCACUAGGUUGGUUGGUUGAGGCAGCAGGGAAAUCAGCACAGAAAU
Rana temporaria (common frog) is the source of this 189-nucleotide long non-coding RNA. RefSeq lists it as uncharacterized. The transcript is spliced from 2 exons. NCBI's taxonomy places the organism in Eukaryota, Metazoa, Chordata, Amphibia, Anura, Ranidae. The record is from RefSeq and is a predicted model, not a curated record.